GCAUAUCAAUAAGCGGAGGAAAAGAAACUAACACGGAUUCCCCUAGUAACUGCGAGUGAAGCGGGAAAAGCUCAAAUUUGAAAUCUGGCAGCUCUUUGAACUGUCCGAGUUGUAAUCUAGAGAAGUGUUACCUGUGCUGGACCGUGUACAAGUCUCCUGGAAUGGAGCGUCACAGAGGGUGAGAAUCCCGUCUUUGACACGGACUGCCUGCAUGUUAUGGUGCGCUCUCAAAGAGUCGAGUUGUUUGGGAAUGCAGCUCAAAAUGGGUGGUAAAUGCCAUCUAAAGCUAAAUAUUGGCGAGAGACCGAUAGCGAACAAGUACCGUGAGGGAAAGAUGAAAAGAACUUUGGAAAGAGAGUUAAACAGUACGUGAAAUUGCUGAAAGGGAAACGCUUGAAGUCAGUCGCGUCGGCUAGAAAUCAACCUUGCUUUUGCUUGGUGUACUUUCUUGUUUGAUGGGUCAGCAUCAAUUUUGACCAUUGGAUAAAGUCGUUGGGAAUGUGGCAUCUUAGGAUGUGUUAUAGCCCAUCGUCGCAUACAGUGGUUGGGAUUGAGGAACUCAGCACGCCCUCUGGGAAUGGGUUUCGACCACGUAUCGUGCUUAGGAUGCUGGCAUAAUGGCUUUAAUCGACCCGUCUUGAAACACGGACCAAGGAGUCUAACAUGCCUGCGAGUGUUUGGGUGGAAAACCCAUGCGCGCAAUGAAAGUGAAAGUUGAGAUCCCCUCAAGGGGAGCAUUGACGCCCGGACCAGACCUUCUGUGACGGAUCCGCGGUAGAGCAUGUAUGUUGGGACCCGAAAGAUGGUGAACUAUGCCUGAAUAGGGUGAAGCCAGAGGAAACUCUGGUGGAGGCUCGUAGCGAUUCUGACGUGCAAAUCGAUCGUCAAAUUUGGGUAUAGGGGCGAAAGACUAAUCGAACCAUCUAGUAGCUGGUUCCUGCC
Molecule: ribosomal RNA, 942 nt
Filed under: Inocybe sp. 'QUE03'
Lineage: Eukaryota; Fungi; Basidiomycota; Agaricomycetes; Agaricales; Inocybaceae
Description: LSU rRNA
Rfam family: Eukaryotic large subunit ribosomal RNA
Source: RNAcentral